GGAGGGUAUGCCGGCAGUCCGGCGGGCGGUUUCGAAAGCCGCUAUACGGUAUCCAUUCCGGGGGAGCGUCACCUCUACCCUCCGC
This 85-nucleotide transfer RNA is filed under the name Gordonia phage WilliamBoone. Its description in RNAcentral is "tRNA-Ser". Lineage: Duplodnaviria; Heunggongvirae; Uroviricota; Caudoviricetes. The record is from RNAcentral.